GUCGGGAUAGCUCAGCUGCAGGGUCAGAUGUGUAUAAGAGACAGUGUCACCAGUUCAAAUCUGGUUCCUGGCA
Molecule: transfer RNA, 73 nt
Filed under: Cercis chuniana
Lineage: Eukaryota; Viridiplantae; Streptophyta; Magnoliopsida; Fabales; Fabaceae
Description: tRNA-Phe
Source: RNAcentral